GUUUAAUUUCGAUGAUACGCGAGGAACCUUUACCCGGGCUUGAAAGUUACUGAAUUAUCUAGAGAUAGAUAAGUCCGCAAGGACAGGAAACUAGGUGCUGCAUGGCUGUCGUCAGCUCGUGUCGUGAGAUGUUGGGUUAAGUCCCGUAACGAGCGCAACCCUUGUCCUUAGUUACCAGCACGUUAUGGUGGGCACUCUAAGGAGACUGCCGGUGACAAACCGGAGGAAGGUGGGGAUGACGUCAAGUCAUCAUCGGCCCGUUACGGCCUGGGCUACACACGUGCUACAAUGGUCGGUACAGAGGGUCGCCAAGCCGCGAGGUGGAGCUAAUCUCACAAAACCGAUCGUAGUCCGGAUCGCAGUCUGCAACUCGACUGCGUGAAGUCGGAAUCGCUAGUAAUCGCGAAUCAGAAUGUCGCGGUGAAUACGUUCCCGGGCCUUGUACAC
Molecule: ribosomal RNA, 447 nt
Filed under: uncultured Pseudomonas sp.
Lineage: Bacteria; Pseudomonadati; Pseudomonadota; Gammaproteobacteria; Pseudomonadales; Pseudomonadaceae
Description: bacterial SSU rRNA
Rfam family: Bacterial small subunit ribosomal RNA
Source: RNAcentral